Molecule: long non-coding RNA, 722 nt
Organism: Cebus imitator (Panamanian white-faced capuchin)
Lineage: Eukaryota; Metazoa; Chordata; Mammalia; Primates; Cebidae
Exons: 2
Source: RefSeq, a predicted model, not a curated record
AUGAGGUCACUGGACAUGGCAGUCAGGAGGGCCUUGGUAACCUCUGUCUGGAUAGUAGGUAUGUAGCUUCCCCACAGCUCAUCAACAGCUGGGACAUCAUGAGUUCCUGGUGAGCUAAAGAGCCCAGCUGCCCCUCAGAUGGGGACUCUUCCCAGACCAGGGCUGAUUUAAGCUUCUCCUCAUCUCCAGAGCUUGGCCCUGUUAAGCAACAUUUGGUAGAAAAAAACAAAGCAGGUGGAAUGAGCCAUCCAGGCUUUAUGCCUCCUGGACUAGCUGGAGACCCCUCGGCAAGUCACCUCACCAUCCGGAGCCCAACUCCUCACCUGUGCGACAGGAACAUAACACAGACCUCUUCUGAGCAUCAGAAGCAAUCUGAGGGCUGGGCCACAUUCUGUCAACUGUAAGGUUUCAUGGGACCAUUUCUGGCUGUGGCUACAACCACUGCCAGUCACAUGGGGCUAACGCUGCUGCUGGAGACACAGGGCUUCUAGCCUUGCUCACAGAGCUCAAGCCUCCUCACUUCUUUGUGUAAGGCUCUCUAAUUGUCCUCUGCACCAUGUCUUCACAUAGGAAGCCACAGGCCCAGCAUAGCAGCCAACUGGCUGACUAAACUCCCACAAUACACAGGUGCCCAGAAGGCCAACAAUAAGGUGUUAGUUCUUGCAAACAGGCAAGUACAGUGUCCUUUCCAGGAAGCUUCAGGAAAGAGAGGAUGGAAGAAG